AGCUCCAAUAGCAUAUAUCAAAGUUGUUGCGGUUAAAAAGCUCGUAGUUGGAUUUCUGUCGAGAACGCGCGGUCCACGCUUUGCGUGAGUAUCUGUGUCGGUCUUGGCAUCCUCUAAAGGAUCGUUUCUGCGCUUGAUUGCGUGGAGCGGAACUUUAGACUUUUACUUUGAGGAAAUUAGAGUGUUCACGGCAGGCAAACGCCUUGAAUACAUUAGCAUGGAAUAAUAACAUAGGGCCUUGGUUCUAUUUUGUUGGUUUGAGGGACUGGAGUAAUGAUUAAUAGGGAUAGUUGGGGGCAUUAGUAUUUAAUUGUCAGAGGUGAAAUUCUCAGAUUAACUAAAGACUAACUUAUGCGAAAGCAUUUGCCAAGGAUGUUUUCA
RNAcentral lists this ribosomal RNA (381 nucleotides) under uncultured eukaryote. RNAcentral's name for it is "SSU rRNA". It matches the Rfam family "Eukaryotic small subunit ribosomal RNA", at positions 587 to 972 of the family's 1831-position model. The record is from RNAcentral.